GCGUCGGUGCCCGAGUGGCCAAAGGGAGCGGCCUGCAAAGCCGUUGCGAAAGCUUCGUGGGUUCAAAUCCCACCCGGCGCU
RNAcentral lists this transfer RNA (81 nucleotides) under Actinomycetota bacterium. RNAcentral describes it as "Actinobacteria bacterium tRNA-Cys". It matches the Rfam family "tRNA". From Rfam's summary of the family: Transfer RNA (tRNA) molecules are approximately 80 nucleotides in length. The record is from RNAcentral. Lineage: Bacteria; Bacillati; Actinomycetota.